GGCCCCGUCGUCUAGUGGCCUAGGACGCAGCCCUCUCAAGGCUGAGAUCGCGGGUUCGAACCCCGCCGGGGUCACCA
This 77-nucleotide transfer RNA is filed under the name Candidatus Dormiibacterota bacterium. RNAcentral describes it as "tRNA-Glu". It matches the Rfam family "tRNA". From Rfam's summary of the family: Transfer RNA (tRNA) molecules are approximately 80 nucleotides in length. The record is from RNAcentral. RNAcentral also lists the same sequence under 1 other name. Lineage: Bacteria; Bacillati; Candidatus Dormiibacterota.